This 575-nucleotide long non-coding RNA is filed under the name Mus pahari (shrew mouse). RNAcentral describes it as "lncRNA (MGP_PahariEiJ_G0033089.1)". Lineage: Eukaryota; Metazoa; Chordata; Mammalia; Rodentia; Muridae. The record is from RNAcentral.
UUGUCUCUCACUUUCUCCUGCCUCAAAUAACAACACACUUGUGUUUGGGAUACAGCAGGCAGCACAGAGGUUGGAGAGACUCACUGGGCAGAGCUUGGCUUGGGGAAACUUGACUCUUACUUCCAUGUCCCAAUCUGCAGCCAACUUUUGCACACCCGGUAAGGCUCACCUUAACACCAACCUUAUCUUUGAGUCCUUUAUUUCUUCUCCAGAUGUGUUUUAUGCGAGAUGCAAAAUGUCCCUCACAUGUGUUUUAGCACAUUGUUGCUGAGUGAUAGUCCUAAUUUGGGGGGUUGUGGACCUGUUAAGAGGUGGGUUGCUGGGAGGGCAGGUCUUGGGGUUCAUAACCAGCCUUUCUCCCUGUCUUCCUGCUUCCCAAUGUGAGCAAUAUGCUGAUACCUAGGAAACAUCUUGUACCCCAAGAUGCGUUUGAGUAUGAAUGCUGUAUGAUUCUGAGAAUAUCUUUCUUGAGAAUAGAUAACAAUAGAAGCAAAGCAGUAGGCAGCGAAGAAGAAGAAGAAGAAGAAGAAGAAGAAGAAGAAGAAGGAGGAGGAGGAGGGGAGGAGGAGGAAGAG